UUACACAUGCAAGUCGAACGGCAGCACGGACUUCGGUCUGGUGCAUGGCGAACGGGUGAGUAAUGUAUCGGAACGUGCCUAGUAGCGGGGGAUAACUACGCGAAAGCGUAGCUAAUACCGCAUACGCCCUACGGGGGAAAGCAGGGGAUCGCAAGACCUUGCACUAUUAGAGCGGCCGAUAUCGGAUUAGCUAGUUGGUGGGGUAACGGCUCACCAAGGCGACGAUCCGUAGCUGGUUUGAGAGGACGACCAGCCACACUGGGACUGAAACACGGCCCAGACUCCUACGGGAGGCAGCAGUGGGGAAUUUUGGACAAUGGGGGAAACCCUGAUCCAGCCAUCCCGCGUGUGCGAUGAAGGCCUUCGGGUUGUAAAGCACUUUUGGCAGGAAAGAAACGUUCCGGGUUAAUACCCCGGGAAACUGACGGUACCUGCAGAAUAAGCACCGGCUAACUACGUGCCAGCAGCCGCGGUAAUACGUAGGGUGCAAGCGUUAAUCGGAAUUACUGGGCGUAAAGCGUGCGCAGGCGGUUCGGAAAGAAAGAUGUGAAAUCCCAGAGCUUAACUUUGGAACUGCAUUUUUAACUACCGAGCUAGAGUGUGUCAAAGGGAGGUGGAAUUCCGCGUGUAGCAGUGAAAUGCGUAAUAUGCGGAGGAACACCGAUGGCGAAGGCAGCCUCCUGGGAUAACACUGACGCUCAUGCAC
This 706-nucleotide ribosomal RNA is filed under the name Achromobacter spanius. Its description in RNAcentral is "bacterial SSU rRNA". It matches the Rfam family "Bacterial small subunit ribosomal RNA", at positions 49 to 754 of the family's 1533-position model. Lineage: Bacteria; Pseudomonadati; Pseudomonadota; Betaproteobacteria; Burkholderiales; Alcaligenaceae. The record is from RNAcentral.